GGACCUACGUCUAAAAUGUUAUAGACGUCGGCACCCCAGGACAACCGUCGUCUACUUCCCUGAUCGAAAUUGAAAAGUCAUCUCGAUCAGUGUCGUAAACGUCGGCGUCCCUUGUGUCUGACGUCUAAGGUGUAUGCAAAAAGCAGAUUAAAAGUUAUCUUGAACGUCAUAUUAGUGAGAUAACCAACGUCUAGCUGACUAUAGACAUCGGUUUCUGUAGCAACCGACGCCUCAAUUCAUGUUAAAUAAACCGCAGACUCGCAGUUUCGCAAACAUCAUCGUCUUCCUCCUCUCCUUUUUCUCUCUUGCGGCAUUGCAUUCCAGGUGCGUCUUUU
This 335-nucleotide long non-coding RNA is filed under the name Vigna radiata. RNAcentral describes it as "long non-coding RNA (VRAD_LNC010733)". Lineage: Eukaryota; Viridiplantae; Streptophyta; Magnoliopsida; Fabales; Fabaceae. The record is from RNAcentral.